GGGGGCUUGAAAUUUUAUUCACAAAGAUUUUUUUUAACAGAGAUUAGGGAAGGCAAUAACACCAAAGAAAAUGUAAUGUUCAUUGAAACUGGGAAAAUAUAUAAAUGAAUCAAAAGAGAUCUCAACAAAAUUAUUUUCUGGCUGCACUGCCUAGAUAUUGUAUAUGUGCAGCCAGAAUGUUAAAAUUAUAGUAAUCAACCUUUUAAUUUGUAGCCAAAGCUACACCAGAGAGAGGCCACAGAUGACCACAACCAAAUAAAUACUGCAAUCAAUUAAGAGGCCACAAAUGGCCUGGUACAGGACCAAACCUCUCUCCAAGAUCUUGACUGCUUUAGCCCAUUUAUCUUCUUCUUCCUGAGCUUCAUUUCUUUCUUUCUCAACCUCCUCAGAGUCAUUUCCAUUCUCUCUAAACAAUUGAGCAAGCACAAUUGUUACAUCAGUUAGCAGGAUUAUGUAAAAAGGCCUGGAGGCAAUGAAGUUCUCUGAACUCAGAAUGUCAAAUCCAAACAUUGGAUAAUCAAUGUAAGAUAUAACCACUAGAAAAGCUAUAAUGAGAGAACAAUUAGCUCGCGUUCUCUCAGAAGCUAUAAUGCAGGAAUUUAUCCGUUUGGAAGAGAAAAAAUUUGGGGGAGGUGAUGCCUUUUCAACUGAUGGUGUGAUCCCAGAAGCCUGCUGCUCCAAUUUCGUGAUGGAGUCAGGACUUGUCGCACUUUUCACCAAACGAGGUUCCGCUUGGCUUCCUCUAUGGAAGUUUCUCGCCCCUGGAUAUUCAUUGAUGGUCCUGGUUUUCAUGAACUUGGAACCAGAGUCAUCUUCUUUUUCCUCAGGACCAGCCUUGAUUUGAGCAUUAUCAUUAGGAGAGAAGAUAAUUGAUGGGGAAGAUUCUGUGUGUGCAUGAUGUUGACGUUGAGUUGAUGAUGAUGGAAGCGACGGCGAUGAACUGAGAGUUUUGACUUGGCCUGUGAUGAGAGCCAUGCGAUCACUCCCUCUCUCCAUGAUUUUUCUUCUUCGUUCUUGUCUGACAUCGCUAUCCAUUUCUUUCUUGCCAAGCUCCCAAUUCUGCCUCACACCAAGCUU
RNAcentral lists this unclassified non-coding RNA (1077 nucleotides) under Hevea brasiliensis (rubber tree). Lineage: Eukaryota; Viridiplantae; Streptophyta; Magnoliopsida; Malpighiales; Euphorbiaceae. The record is from RNAcentral.